Long non-coding RNA from Canis lupus familiaris (dog), 360 nucleotides. RefSeq lists it as uncharacterized. NCBI's taxonomy places the organism in Eukaryota, Metazoa, Chordata, Mammalia, Carnivora, Canidae. The transcript is spliced from 3 exons. The record is from RefSeq and is a predicted model, not a curated record.
UGUUGGAAUCAACUGUGAGGCCGCAGCUGCAGGAAUAAGGACUAGAGGGUGACUUCAACAAAACCAAGUGAAGUGUUUUAAUGAUGGAUACAUUUUUCAAUGAGAUGAGUUUCUUCCAGACCCUACUGGGUGUUUCUUUGAGCUAUCAUGAGGACUUCUGCAAGGAUUUUCUGCAGGACUAGCAAAAGCAUCGUGGAUUCUACACCGUCCCAGCAGACAGCCACAUCCCUGCUGUGGCUGGCCAAAUGCAGCAGUAACAGCACAAGCAUGAGAAGAGAACACCAGAAUAAAUCAGAGGAAAACAAAAUGAAUAGUUUGUGAACCCACCUGAAAAUACUCUGGGAAUUCUUUGAACUGAAA